AUUGAACGCUGGCGGCAGGCCUAACACAUGCAAGUCGAACGGUAACAGGAAGAAGCUUGCUUCUUUGCUGACGAGUGGCGGACGGGUGAGUAAUGUCUGGGAAACUGCCUGAUUGAGGGGGAUAACUACUGGAAACGGUAGCUAAUACCGCAUAACGUCGCAAGACCAAAGAGGGGGACCUUCUGGCCUCUUGCCAUCGGAUGUGCCCAGAUGGGAUUAGCUAGUAGGUGGGGUAACGGCUCACCUAGGCGACGAUCCCUAGCUGGUCUGAGAGGAUGACCAGCCACACUGGAACUGAGACACGGUCCAGACUCCUACGGGAGGCAGCAGUGGGGAAUAUUGCACAAUGGGCGCAAGCCUGAUGCAGCCAUGCCGCGUGUAUGAAGAAGGCCUUCGGGUUGUAAAGUACUUUCAGCGGGGAGGAAGGGAGUAAAGUUAAUACCUUUACUCAUUGACGUUACCCGCAGAAGAAGCACCGGCUAACUCCGUG
Molecule: ribosomal RNA, 490 nt
Filed under: uncultured bacterium
Lineage: Bacteria
Description: partial 16S ribosomal RNA
Rfam family: Bacterial small subunit ribosomal RNA
Source: RNAcentral